Molecule: long non-coding RNA, 305 nt
Organism: Syngnathus acus (greater pipefish)
Lineage: Eukaryota; Metazoa; Chordata; Actinopteri; Syngnathiformes; Syngnathidae
Exons: 3
Source: RefSeq, a predicted model, not a curated record
CUACCUCUGAGGAUUCUGUUGGAGUGGUGGGUUGGGGUUUGAGAAAGUGGUUGAUGGUUGAAAAGAGCUGUUUUGAAUUUCCAGGGGUAUUGUUUAUGAUAUUGGAAUAGAACUGGGCACGUGCAGUCCCAAGGGCUUUUGAGUAGGCCUUCUGAUGUUCUUUGUAGGCCUGUUUGUGCACGGUCAGUCCUGAGGCUUUAAGACGACGCUCCAGGAUGCGUCCAGUUGACUUCAUCAGACGCAGCUCACUGGUGUACCAGGGGGCUGAGCGUGAAAAGGUGACUGUUUUGUUAUUUUUUGGGGGG